GAAGCGGCAACAGCUCAAAUUUGAAAUCUGGCGCAAGCCCGAGUUGUAAUUUGUAGAGGAUGCUUCUGGGUAGCGGCCGGUCUAAGUUCCUUGGAACAGGACGUCAUAGAGGGUGAGAAUCCCGUAUGUGACUGGCUUGCACCCUCCACGUAGCUCCUUCGACGAGUCGAGUUGUUUGGGAAUGCAGCUCUAAAUGGGAGGUAAAUUUCUUCUAAAGCUAAAUACCGGCCAGAGACCGAUAGCGCACAAGUAGAGUGAUCGAAAGAUGAAAAGCACUUUGGAAAGAGAGUUAAAAAGCACGUGAAAUUGUUGAAAGGGAAGCGCCCGCAACCAGACUUUGCGGCAGUGUUCGGCCGGUCUUCUGACCGGUUUACUCGCUGUCGUGAGGCCAUCAUCGUCUGGGACCGCUGGAUAAGACCUUAGGAAUGUAGCUUCCCUCGGGAAGUGUUAUAGCCUCUGGUGAUGCAGCGCGUCUCGGGCGAGGUCCGCGCUUCGGCAAGGAUGAUGGCGUAAUGGUUGUCGGCGGCCCGUCUUGAAACACGGACCAAGGAGUCUAACAUCUAUGCGAGUGUUCGGGUGUCAAACCCCUACGCGUAAUGAAAGUGAACGGAGGUGGGAACUUUUUUGUGCACCAUCGACCGAUCCUGAUGUCCUCGGAUGGAUUUGAGUAAGAGCAUAGCUGUUGGGACCCGAAAGAUGGUGAACUAUG
Molecule: ribosomal RNA, 709 nt
Filed under: Pseudocercospora xylopiae
Lineage: Eukaryota; Fungi; Ascomycota; Dothideomycetes; Mycosphaerellales; Mycosphaerellaceae
Description: eukaryotic LSU rRNA
Rfam family: Eukaryotic large subunit ribosomal RNA
Source: RNAcentral